Lepisosteus oculatus (spotted gar) is the source of this 829-nucleotide non-coding RNA. The record is from RefSeq and is a predicted model, not a curated record. Lineage: Eukaryota; Metazoa; Chordata; Actinopteri; Semionotiformes; Lepisosteidae.
GCAGAUCCGUGGUUUAUCUCUGAUAUAAAAGGAGUGUUAGGAUAACCUUCUCCUGAAGGCCGGGUAGCUGCUGUCUGAGAUAGGUGAGCACAAAGAGAAGCGGCCCUGUGGAUGACACCAGCUGUAACCAGACACCUGCCUCCCAGGUAGACCUAACAGCUGGCUUAAAAGAGCUGCUUCCCAUCUGGCCAUGCACCUCUGAGUGAGGCAGCACAAGAAGAAACAUGAAAGGACUGAGGUCAUGUGCCAGCUCUCACUCUGGAUUAGAAACUUGUCCAUCUAUAGCAGGUCAACAGAUAAAGGGACCCAAAAUGGAAUGUCAUUCUGAGGUGGGGAAAAACAAAACUGGAGCUCCUUGAGAAAAGGACAUGACCAAAUUGUGGAAUCUUCAAAAGGCAGGCGACACGUUACCGUAUCGACGUAGAAGUCCAUUUAAACUUUUUUGGUGCUGUGUCGUCUUGUGAUGUCGAAUGCAAAGAUGAGGACAGUCUGUGCCUCUCGCUGUGAAAGGGGUUGUCGCAUUGUGUGGUUCACAGCAGGAGUGUGGUGUUUGCAGAUUGGAAUGCUAGCACCCCAGCGCUUGCAUUGCAGGCAGUCAUGUCAUUUUCACACGCUGAACACAUGAUUAAGGUAACCAGAGACCAUCGCACAAGUGUUGACUGACUGAUAUUCAUUGCUCACUAACAUAAUGCCCAAACAAAAGUUACUUAAACAAUUUAUAGCAACAUAAACUGUAGGUUUUAAUACCUUCUGAGUGACCAACCUUAGUUAAUAUUCAUUGUACUAUUUUGCAAAUGUACUUUAUUAAAACUUGUGUUUUGCAUUACAA